GUACCUACGGGAGGCAGCAGUGAGGAAUAUUGGUCAAUGGCCGAGAGGCUGAACCAGCCAAGUCGCGUGAGGGAUGACGGCCCUACGGGUUGUAAACCUCUUUUGUCGGGGAGCAAAGAGAGUCACGUGUGACUCAUUGAGAGUACCCGAAGAAAAAGCAUCGGCUAACUCCGUGCCAGCAGCCGCGGUAAUACGUAGGGGGCAAGCGUUAUCCGGAUUUACUGGGUGUAAAGGGAGCGUAGACGGCAGCACAAGUCUGAAGUGAAAUGCCGGGGCUUAACCCCGGAACUGCUUUGGACACUGUG
RNAcentral lists this ribosomal RNA (305 nucleotides) under uncultured bacterium. RNAcentral describes it as "bacterial SSU rRNA". It matches the Rfam family "Bacterial small subunit ribosomal RNA", at positions 335 to 637 of the family's 1533-position model. The record is from RNAcentral.